GAUGAUCAGACCGUCAGGUCAAACAGAGUCGAAGCUUCGUUCUGUUCGUACGCCGCGGACCGGUGAGUACACGUGGGCAACCUGCCUGUAGACGGGGAUAACACCGAGAAAUCGGCUAAUACCGGAUAACACGGAAUGUCGCAUGACGUUUCGUUGAAAGGCGGCGCACGUGUCGCUACAGGAUGGGCCCGCGCGCAUUAGCUAGUUGGUGAGGUAACGGCUCACCAAGGCGACGAUGCGUACGCGACCUGAGAGGGUGAUCGGCCACACUGGGACUGAGACACGGCCCAGACUCCUACGGGAGGCAGCAGUAGGGAAUCUUCCGCAAUGGACGAAAGUCUUGACGGAGCAACGCCGCGUGACGAAAGAAGGCCUUCCGGUCGUAAGCUCUGUUGUUAGGGAGAACAAGUAGCCCAGUAACUGGCGUUACCUGACGGUACCAAGCAGAAAGCCACGGCUACUACGUGCCAGCAGCCGCGGAAUUACGUAGUGGCAGCUUGUCCGGAUUAUGGGCGUAACGCACGCAGCGGUCCUUAAGUCUAUGUGAAGCACGGUCAACCCUGAGGGCCUUGGAACUGGGGAUCUAAGUCACAGAAGGAAGCGAUCACCUUAUCGUAAAUCAUAAGAUUUGAGACCAGUAGACGGGCUUUGCUUGAUUUCAAUAGCAGCAGUGGGAGACAAAGAUACCUGUGCUUCCAAAAAUAUGAGUGAAUGAGACUCCAUUGUGAGGGAAUCCCCUGACGAAGAAGAUAAGAGUCGGGGGGGGGAUGAAGCAGAGCGAGCACAUCCUC
This 791-nucleotide ribosomal RNA is filed under the name Bacillus sp. 75B. RNAcentral's name for it is "bacterial SSU rRNA". The stretch from base 1 to 615 matches the Rfam family "Bacterial small subunit ribosomal RNA". Lineage: Bacteria; Bacillati; Bacillota; Bacilli; Caryophanales; Bacillaceae. The record is from RNAcentral.